Long non-coding RNA from Dreissena polymorpha, 294 nucleotides. RefSeq lists it as uncharacterized. The record is from RefSeq and is a predicted model, not a curated record. Lineage: Eukaryota; Metazoa; Mollusca; Bivalvia; Myida; Dreissenidae. The transcript is spliced from 3 exons.
UGACAUUCUGCCACUGGUCAGAUGCUACAUUUGACUGUGCCAGCGUCAUCUCUCGUGCAGAGAAGAAGUUGUGUAUAAUUAUGGUGCAGAACCAUAUCCAUGGGGGCAAAAGGACAGGUUUGAUUUAUACACUGAUGUUGGAGCUUGGGAAAAGCCACUUGGCUACAUUACCCAGCUCAGGCAGUCUGCAAUAUUCAAAGAAGUGAGGACUUUGAGUUCUUGAUGACUGCAGUGUCCAUGACUAAGAUGUUGAACCAGAUGGCCUAGAUCCAGAACUGACUACAUGGACCAAGG